UACAAUGACUAUUCUUGAUGGUUAGGUUGU
This 30-nucleotide non-coding RNA is filed under the name Rattus norvegicus (Norway rat). Lineage: Eukaryota; Metazoa; Chordata; Mammalia; Rodentia; Muridae. The record is from RNAcentral.